CAGUCCCGCGGUAAAACGUAGGUCCCGAGCGUUGUCCGGAUUUAUUGGGCGUAAAGGGAGCGCAGGCGGUUUAGUAAGUCUGAAGUUAAAGGCUGUGGCUUAACCAUAGUACGCUUUGGAAACUGUUUAACUUGAGUGCAGAAGGGGAGAGUGGAAUUCCAUGUGUAGCGGUGAAAUGCGUAGAUAUAUGGAGGAACACCGGUGGCGGAAGCGGCUCUCUGGUCUGUAACUGACGCUGAGGCUCGAAAGCGUGGGGAGCAAACAGGAUUAGAUACCCCGGUAGUCCCUGUCUCUUAUACAC
RNAcentral lists this ribosomal RNA (301 nucleotides) under uncultured bacterium. Its description in RNAcentral is "partial 16S ribosomal RNA". It matches the Rfam family "Bacterial small subunit ribosomal RNA", at positions 512 to 809 of the family's 1533-position model. The record is from RNAcentral.